Molecule: long non-coding RNA, 965 nt
Filed under: Olea europaea subsp. europaea
Lineage: Eukaryota; Viridiplantae; Streptophyta; Magnoliopsida; Lamiales; Oleaceae
Source: RNAcentral
AAAAUAUUCGGCUGCAGGUUCAUGUAUUUUUCCUACCAAAAUGGCUGGUCCAGGACUUAGAAAAAUCUCAUUAACGUGUUGGAGAACUGCCUUGCUUCAGGCAGCCUACGUCCUUAGCCUGAGUCUACCUGCGUCCCCUGCCUGAUUCUGCCUGCGUCUCAUGUCGCAAGCUGUCUGCGUCCCUUGCCAAAUCCACCUGCGUCAUUUACCGCAAGCUGUUCCAUCCCGCUAAAACACGUUACCCGCGCUAUUUUGUGGUUGCUACCGAGAUGGAUCGGUCGUGACCGUGUGGAGCGUAAGUGACCGCUCUAAUUCAAAUUUGAAAAUAGUGGCUGAAAUGCGAAUACUUUCUGUGCACAAGAAUUUUAGCCGCUUAAGGGGCCAAUUGGAUGGAUUAAUUUGCUAAGAUCCUCACCCUUUUUUUCUCAUUUAUAUAUGAGUUACUCAAUUUUAUUUUGUUUUAAAUUCGUUGCUGAAAUUUUGAUUAAUUUCAUUUCAAUUUGACCAUUAAUAACAACUUUAUUACAAAUUUUAGGAUCUAUUUGGCAUGACUUUUGAGAAAGUUAAAAGGAACUUCUGAGAUCCAAAACGCUUUUAGAUCCGUUUAACUAAUUUUUUGUAAGUGUUUUUUCUAGUUAGAAGAACUUUUACAAAAAGACGAUUCAAUGUCUUCCUAUAAAAAUACUUUCGAAAUAAGAAGUUUUUUUAAAAAGUAAGCUUUCAAACAAAAAUUAAGGGAAUUUUCUCAAUAAGCUCUUCUACAUAAAGCAAAAAUAAAAGACAUGCGAAUAGGUUCUUAAUAUCCUUGGAUGUUAUUUUGGCUCAUUGGCAAUCCAAUUGGGCAAUAAUCACAUCUUUUAGCCCCCUUUUGACCCCAAUUAAUUUUCAUUCCAUUAAAUUUCAUUUUUCUCUCCUAUUUUCAACCACACAAUUUUCAAAUAAAUAAUAUUAUACAUAAACAGAAA